RNAcentral lists this ribosomal RNA (497 nucleotides) under uncultured bacterium. Its description in RNAcentral is "partial 16S ribosomal RNA". It matches the Rfam family "Bacterial small subunit ribosomal RNA", at positions 28 to 507 of the family's 1533-position model. The record is from RNAcentral.
GAUGAACGCUGGCGGCGUGCCUAAUACAUGCAAGUCGAGCGAACGGACGAGAAGCUUGCUUCUCUGAUGUUAGCGGCGGACGGGUGAUUAACACGUGGGUAACCUACCUAUAAGACUGGGAUAACUUCGGUAAACCGUAGCUAAUACCGGAUAAUAUUUUGAACCGCAUGGUUCAAAAGUGAAAGACGGUCUUGCUGUCACUUAUAGAUGUAUCCGCGCUGCAUUAGCUAGUUGGUAAGGUAACGGCUUACCAAGGCAACGAUGCAUAGCCGACCUGAGAGGGUGACCAGCCACACUGGAACUGAGACACGGUCCAGACUCCUACGGGAGGCAGCAGUGGGGAAUUUUCCGCAAUGGGCGAAAGCCUGACGGAGCAACGCCGCGUGAGUGAUGAAGGCCUUCGGAUCGUAAAACUCUGUUAUUAGGGAAGAACAUAUGUGUAAGUAACUGUGCACAUAUUGACGGUACCUAAUCAGAAAGCCACGGCUAACUACGUG